RNAcentral lists this ribosomal RNA (325 nucleotides) under uncultured eukaryote. RNAcentral describes it as "partial 18S ribosomal RNA". It matches the Rfam family "Eukaryotic small subunit ribosomal RNA", at positions 1470 to 1796 of the family's 1831-position model. The record is from RNAcentral.
CCCUUAGAUGUUCUGGGCUGCACGCGCGCUACACUGGUGCGUUCAGCGAGUUUAGCACCUUAACAGAUAUGUUUGGGUAAUCUUCUGAAAACGCACCGUGAUGGGGAUCGAUUAUUGUAAUUAUUAAUCGUCAACGAGGAAUUCCUAGUAAGUGUGAAUCAUCAGUUCGCGCUGAUUACGUCCCUGCCCUUUGUACACACCGCCCGUCGCUGCUACCGAUUGAGUGGUCCGGUGAAUUAUUCGGACCGGUGGACUGUGGGGUAACUCGCGGUCUGCUGGGAAGUCUUGUGAACCUUAUCACUUAGAGGAAGCAGAAGUCGUAACA